ACUCAUCCUUGCGCCAAGCUACGCACUUGGGUUUGACGACGAGGGAUGCCAAUCUCGCACGAGUUCACCCGUGCUGCGAACCGUAGCGAGCAAAUUGACUCCCCUGUAGACGACACCUCUGGAGACAGAUUCACAAACAUAAGUGUCUUCGAGUCUCCUCCAAGGCAUGGCUUUCAGGUACGUUAAUUUUGAGUUCCUGAAUGGAACGUGCUCCUCUUUCUUUGCAAUGGAGAAGAUUACAUCGCUCAAGCACGAGAGGCUUUUAUUAAUAGCCUGUGUCUCCUUUAGCCUAUCUCCGGUGGCACCGCUCUUGUUAAGCCGCUCACUGCCGGCAAGAUCGAUUAGAUUGAGCACUCCUUGCACCUGCUGAUAUCGCAUACCUCAUUGACACCAAAAAAUCGAAGCGUGAACACACAAUGACUUCUAGAUGAUUCUUCGUUCAUCUGUAACUAGAGUGCAACCUGCUCUGAGCAGCCCGCUUGAGGAGAGAAGAAACUUCAUUGAUACUCAACACAUCGACGAUUAUGAGAUCUGAUACAUGGGUAUUACCAUUGGCAUCAUGCUUGAUACUGUACUUUGAAGCGCCACCAUCUUGAAUAGUUGUGUGAUUAGUGGCUAGCAGAUCACAUAUGGCUUCAUUGUAGAUUUCCAACAUAGAUGCCUGCAUCUUAUAUUUCCAUCCCUGUGAAAUAAGAGCCUGGCUUGUUUGGAAAAUUUGUUCAAGUGAUCUCGGAAUUAAUCCUUUCUGGUCAUGUAAUUCUGGAUUUCCCAUCAUUGUGUAUGUUUUACCCGAGCCAGUUUGGCCAUAUGCAAAUAUGCACACCUGACCAUCAAGGGCGCUCUGGACGAGAUGGGAAAUCUCAAUGAACACAUCUUCUUGUGAUGUCGACUGCUCAAAUACUUUGUCAAAUCAAGUGUUACUAUACCAUUAUGUGUCAACUCAAUGCCACGACCUAAGUUUUCUCCACUCUUUGGAUAAGCAACAGCUCCUGAUUCAUUUGGCAAUAAAGGUCGCACCCUACAGAAGACUCGAAUAAAAAUUUAAGAGACAUUACGAGUAUUGUAUUAUGGAGUUUUUUCCGCAAAUUUCUCUAUGUCCAAAAUUUGUUGCUCAGCUUCUUCGAGUCGUAAUUGCAGAUCCUUCAACAUUCUUUUUUCUUCUCGUACUCAGUCAUCGUCUCCAUAGUAGUCAAAUCAGAUCUCUACAUAAUUAAAGAAAAUAGCAAGUCCUUAAGCGCUUGUGGAUAUAAUAUAUUGAAACAAAGUGUACAUGCUUUCAGUAUGCACUUUUUAACUUUUCGUUAGCUGAUGCAAGCUGCAGCUCCAAUGUUUUAAUUCUCUCUGUUUGGGACGAACAUGUUUCCUGUAUUGAAAAUACAUUAGUUGCACCGAUUGUAGUAAUUAGACAUUGAAUCAAUUAGAGCAUAAUUUAAGAUGAACAGAUGUUUGUAAUGAAAGGUCGGGACUAAGAUCAUACCUUUUCCAAAUCUAGCUGCAUCUUUACAGAGUUAGCAUGGUGUUUCAAACCAUUCAUUGUUUCUACCAUAGUGUUCUUCUCUUUCUGCAGCAUUGCUAUUAUUUCACCAUUCUUCGUUGCAUUUGUAGAUUGCUGUUAUACUGUUGCAAACUAGUGUUGUAUUCUUGAAGCCUCUUAUUUGUGUCCUGAAGCAUCUUGA
RNAcentral lists this small RNA (1676 nucleotides) under Oryza sativa Japonica Group (Japanese rice). Its description in RNAcentral is "sRNA Os03g0862300". The record is from RNAcentral. Lineage: Eukaryota; Viridiplantae; Streptophyta; Magnoliopsida; Poales; Poaceae.